Molecule: non-coding RNA, 67 nt
Filed under: Streptomyces sp. GMY02
Lineage: Bacteria; Bacillati; Actinomycetota; Actinomycetes; Kitasatosporales; Streptomycetaceae
Source: RNAcentral
CGGCGAAACCCCCUGACGCGGGGGUCGGAGCGGGGUGGUGCCCGCUUCCUGACGAUGCCAGCCGCAU